Long non-coding RNA from Ipomoea nil (Japanese morning glory), 1215 nucleotides. RefSeq lists it as uncharacterized. The record is from RefSeq and is a predicted model, not a curated record. The transcript has 9 exons. NCBI's taxonomy places the organism in Eukaryota, Viridiplantae, Streptophyta, Magnoliopsida, Solanales, Convolvulaceae.
UCACGCCUCAGACCUCACACCUCUGCUGCCGUCUAGAUUCAUCGCCACCGCUCCGUCUCACACAUCCGCUGCCGUCUCACCCUCGUUGUAUUCUCCUUCCUCUGCCAGCCGUCGCAUCUUCCCUCCCCGGCCGGCCAACGUUGCCACUUUCCUCCAUCAACAUGGUACAAGUUAGUCUUCAACCUUAGGCUGCGGGGGUUUGGGUUUAUUACUUUCAAUUCAGAGGAUGCAGUUUCUGACUUUUUACCAGAAUGGGAUAUACGAUCGUGCUUAAACACCUUGCAGUUUCUCAACAAAAAAGAAGGAUACCCUCAAUGUGGUUUUGGUGGGGUGGAUUCUGGAAGGAAAUUAGAUUUCUUGUUAUGGUCACACCAAGCUGUAGUGGUUGAAUGCAAUGAAGUUGAAUGCUAUCAACCGGAGAGAGAGUGACAACUCUGAAGCUGAAAGAGCUCAGCAUAUUAAACAACUUCAUGAACUUUAGGAGCAUAUUCAAGAGAAAGAACAUCAGUUUAUGGAAUUGCAGGAAUAGAACAGAAUUGCAAAGGAAACCAUUCUUUACAAAGACGAACAAAUGAGGGAGCCCCAUGCUUUGUUGACUCGUGCUCAGGAGAUCGAUUCCUUGCAACAAGCUGAACUACGUGAACGAGCUCAACAAUAUAAUCAGCUUUGGCUUGGUUUUUGGCGAGAGGAAGUGCUUACAUUUACAUAUGCAACAACUCCAAAUAGAACUGGCUGAGGCAAGAGAAAGGAAUGGUACUUCAACUGAUAGUUCUCAAGUCUCAAAGGAAUCUUCAAAAGAUACUUCCCAGUAUGGGCAGAACAAUGGCAACAAACUUAAUGAGAAUGGUAAUAAUGAUGCCUCUAGUGGAAACUCUGGACACAUACCAAAUGGAAAUGCCGAAAAUGCUUCAUCAUUUACUUUUAUUGGGAAUGUGUCAACUCAAAGUGAUCUCCAUGGCGUUCCACUUGCUCCUUCAUCUUUACUUGGGAUGGCAACCUUCAUUCCACCAGGUUAAAUUGCUGCAGUGCAUCCAUUUUUAAUGCAUCAAUAGGGAGUAGGUUUUUGAAUAAGCGGGGUAAGCAGUUUGGAGUGACAUCUAUCGGGUUUGCAUGUCCAACACAAAUUUCAGCAGAUAUGGUUCACUUAAAUUCCUCUUCUGUUACAUCACAUUUCAUUAAGGUUAUGGAGGAACACAAGGAUCAGCAUUUCAUUUU